UGCAAAGUCGAACGGUAGCAGGAAGUGCUUGCACUUUGCUGACGAGUGGCGGACGGGUGAGUAAUGCUUGGGAACUUGCCUUUGCGAGGGGGAUAACAGUUGGAAACGACUGCUAAUACCGCAUAAUGUCUACGGACCAAACGGGGCUUAGGCUUCGGCGCAGAGAGAGGCCCAAGUGAGAUUAGCUAGUUGGUGGGGUAAAGGCUCACCAAGGCGACGAUCUCUAGCUGUUCUGAGAGGAAGAUCAGCCACACUGGGACUGAGACACGGCCCAGACUCCUACGGGAGGCAGCAGUGGGGAAUAUUGCACAAUGGGGGGAACCCUGAUGCAGCCAUGCCGCGUGUGUGAAGAAGGCCUUCGGGUUGUAAAGCACUUUCAGUUGUGAGGAAAAGUGAGUAGUUAAUACCUGCUCACCGUGACGUUAACAACAGAAGAAGCACCGGCUAACUCCGUGCCAGCAGCCGCGGUAAUACGGAGGGUGCGAGCGUUAAUCGGAAUUACUGGGCGUAAAGCGCACGCAGGCGGUUUGUUAAGCUAGAUGUGAAAGCCCCGAGCUCAACUUGGGAUGGUCAUUUAGAACUGGCAGACUAGAGUCUUGGAGAGGGGAGUGGAAUUCCAGGUGUAGCGGUGAAAUGCGUAGAUAUCUGGAGGAACAUCAGUGGCGAAGGCGACUCCCUGGCCAAAGACUGACGCUCAUGUGCGAAAGUGUGGGUAGCGAACAGGAUUAGAUACCCUGGUAGUCCACACCGUAAACGCUGUCUACUAGCUGUUUGUGGCUUUAAGCCGUGAGUAGCGAAAGCUAACGCGAUAAGUAGACCGCCUGGGGAGUACGGCCGCAAGGUUAAAACUCAAAUGAAUUGAC
This 863-nucleotide ribosomal RNA is filed under the name Alteromonas sp. Its description in RNAcentral is "bacterial SSU rRNA". It matches the Rfam family "Bacterial small subunit ribosomal RNA", at positions 56 to 914 of the family's 1533-position model. Lineage: Bacteria; Pseudomonadati; Pseudomonadota; Gammaproteobacteria; Alteromonadales; Alteromonadaceae. The record is from RNAcentral.